GACGAACGCUGGCGGCGUGCCUAAUACAUGCAAGUAGGACGCAGUUGCGUACGGGAGAGUAACGCGUAGGUCACUACCUGGUAGAGGGGGCGAACUAUUGGAUACGAUAGCUAAUACCGCAUUCUAGUAGAUGGACCUGCUUUGUAUUAGCUAGUAGGGAGGUUAAGGGCCUACCUAGGCGAAGAUACAUAGCCGACCUGGGAGGGUGAUCGGCGACACUGGGACUGAGACACGGCUCAGACGCCGUCGGGAGGCAGCAGUGGGGAAUCUUCGGCAAUGGGGGGAAGCCUGACCGAGCAACGCCGCGUUAGUGAAGAAGGUUUUCGGGUCGUAAAGCUCUGUUGUUAGGGAAGCGGUACUUAACCAGAAAGGGACGGCUAACUACGUGCCAGCAGCCGCGGUAAUUC
This 407-nucleotide ribosomal RNA is filed under the name uncultured bacterium. Its description in RNAcentral is "partial 16S ribosomal RNA". It matches the Rfam family "Bacterial small subunit ribosomal RNA", at positions 28 to 526 of the family's 1533-position model. The record is from RNAcentral.